CGAACGGGUGAGUAACGCGUGAGGAACCUGCCUCAAANAGGGGGACAACAGUUGGAAACGACUGCUAAUACCGCAUAAGCCCACGGCUCGGCAUCGAGCAGAGGGUAAAGGAGCAAUCCGCUUUGAGAUGGCCUCGCGUCCGAUUAGCUAGUUGGUGAGGUAACGGCCCACCAAGGCGACGAUCGGUAGCCGGACUGAGAGGUUGAACGGCCACAUUGGGACUGAGACACGGCCCAGACUCCUACGGGAGGCAGCAUG
Molecule: ribosomal RNA, 258 nt
Filed under: uncultured bacterium
Lineage: Bacteria
Description: partial 16S ribosomal RNA
Rfam family: Bacterial small subunit ribosomal RNA
Source: RNAcentral